CGUAGGGUGCGAGCGUUAAUCGGAAUUACUGGGCGUAAAGCGUGCGCAGGCGGUUUUGUAAGACAGAUGUGAAAUCCCCGGGCUCAACCUGGGACCUGCAUUUGUGACUGCAAGGCUAGAGUACGGUAGAGGGGGAUGGAAUUCCGCGUGUAGCAGUGAAAUGCGUAGAUAUGCGGAGGAACACCGAUGGCGAAGGCAAUCCCCCUGGACCUGUACUGACGCUCAUGCACGAAAGCGUGGGGAGCAAACAGGAUUAGAUACCCUGGUAGUCCACGCCCUAAACGAUGUCAACUGGUUGUUGGGUCUUUACUGAUCAGUAACGAAGCUAACGCGUGAAGUUGACCGCCUGGGGAGUACGGGCCGCAAGGUUG
This 371-nucleotide ribosomal RNA is filed under the name uncultured organism. RNAcentral's name for it is "bacterial SSU rRNA". It matches the Rfam family "Bacterial small subunit ribosomal RNA", at positions 526 to 896 of the family's 1533-position model. The record is from RNAcentral.